AAAUAUUAAAGUCUAGUUUUGGUCCCCAAGAAAGAGGACAAACUGUUUUGGACACUGGACUGUCUUUAUGUGCUGAUCAGGUGUUUGACUUUGUACAAGAGAUGGGUGACUGAAAGCUGACCUGCUAAGGAGUUGGUUUCACCCUACACAACUCUUCCUUAGUCUCGAUCUGUGAUGCGAAGACUUGGUCCCCAAAAAAGAGGAUAAACUGUUUCGGCCACUGGACUGUCUUUAUGCGCUGAUCAGGUGUUUGACUUUGUGCAAGAGAUGGGUGACUGAAAGCUGACCAGCUAAGGAGCUGGUUUCACCUUUCAUAACUCUUCAUUAGUCUUGAUCUGUGAUGCAAAGACUUGGUCCCCAAAAAAGAGGAUAAACUGUUUUGGCCACUGGACUGUCACUAUGCGCUGAUCAGGUGUUUGACUUUGUACAAGAGAUGGGUGACUGAAAGCUGACCCACUAAGGAGUUGGUUUCACCCUGCAUAGCUCUUCCUUAGUCUCGAUCUGUGAUGCAAAGACUUGGUCCCCAUAAAAGAGGAUAAACUGUUUUGGACACUGGACUGUCUUUAUGUGCUGAUCAGGUGUUUGACUUUGUACAAGAGAUGGGUGACUGAAAGCUGACUUGCUAAGGAGUUGGUUUCACCCUGCACAACUCUUCCUUAGUCUUGAUCUGUGAUGCAAAGACUUGGUCCCCAUAAAAGAGGAUAAACUGUUUUGAACACUGGACUGUCUUUAUGUGCUGAUCAGGUGUUUGACUUUGUACAAGAGAUGGGUGACUGAAAGCUGACUUGCUAAGGAGUUGGUUUCACCCUGCACAACUCUUCCUUAGUCUUGAUCUGUGAUGCAAAGACUUGGUCCCCCAAAAAGAGGAUAAACUGUUUCAGCCACUGGAAUGUCUUUAUGUGCUGAUUGGGCAUUUGACUUUGUACAAGAGAUUUCUUGAAGAAUGACUAUCUCAAGAACCAAGAUCAAAUAUGAACGUUCAACCACCCAAAGCUAAAUACCAAGAAACACGAUCACCUUAAGCACGAGACCAGAGACAAAUAUCAAUCUUGGAAAGCAAAAUUGGAUCGACCCCAAAUUCAGGGAAUAAAAUGAAAAAAUUGGGGUUCGAUCCGUUCACCAUCCCCCACCCCACCUACCUUGGAAAUCAAAAACGGUUCCCCGUCCAUCGUUCCCCAGAAGACAGUUUCCUAACUCUUGAUAAAAGUCAUCUAGCUUGUGGUACAAACAUUUUUUUAUUAAUAUUAUAGUAUAACCUCCUAAUGUAAGUAACAAUCCUUUUUUACAUCAAUUCAGUUGCAUUUUUUUAGGUACAAGAAUUUAAUUACCACUUCUUCAAUACAGUUGUGUUUUCCCCAACCAACCUCCCCCACCACGCCCACCUCCUGUGGCAGUUUUGGUAAGUUUUUAAAAAAAGUUCUCUACCAAGUGGUAGUAACAUUUAAAGGUCUUAUUACGCAUGUAUGUUACAUGAUGUUGUCGCCAGAAAGUACGCAGCUCUUACAAAUACUAAAAAAAAACUGCCUUUAAUAGGUGGGUGUAGUGGGGGACGGUGGCGGAUCGACCCCCGAGUUUUACCAAUAUCUCCUUUCCAAUGUUCAUAUUUGUCCAAGCUAUCAGGGUAAACGUAAAUAUUGGGAGAGACAAAUGAUUCAAAUAUUUCCUUCCUUUCUGCGUUGUUACUUUCUCCUGUCUUGGUAUAGACUAAGCGUCUCCUCGGUGUAAUUAAACUAUAUUAGCUUUUCUUCAUCUGACAAAAAGCUAAUAUUUUCCUGCCUUUCAUUAUUGAUUUCUUAGGCCCAAUCUUUCCGGCUUCUUUGCUCCUCUAGCAAUCUGGAGAAAGGUUAAGGAUACAAAUAUAAUCUGUACUUCUGUUUGAACGGGCUGCAAAUAAACAGAGUAUCAUUCAACACGAAA
Molecule: long non-coding RNA, 1917 nt
Organism: Pocillopora damicornis (cauliflower coral)
Lineage: Eukaryota; Metazoa; Cnidaria; Anthozoa; Scleractinia; Pocilloporidae
Source: RefSeq, a predicted model, not a curated record